Long non-coding RNA from Rosa rugosa (rugosa rose), 487 nucleotides. RefSeq lists it as uncharacterized. The record is from RefSeq and is a predicted model, not a curated record. The transcript has 2 exons. Lineage: Eukaryota; Viridiplantae; Streptophyta; Magnoliopsida; Rosales; Rosaceae.
UUCAGAUCAGAGCAUCAUCUUUGGAAGUGACAUCCACUUCUGUUGACACUGGUGAACUGAUAUCAGAAGUUGAAAGCCGAGAGAACACAGAAACAAGGAGGAAUGGUGAUGUGCGCUACAGUACUCGUUAUCAUGUGCGCUUUCAUGUUGGUUCUCCUAGUCCUCAAGGAGACACUUUUUUGAUCUAAGAGGACAGUUGGUUCCAAAUUUUGGCUCCAUUCUAAUUGUCAUAACCCUUCCUUGAGAGGCUUCAACACGAGAAGAUAUACUCUCCUUAGCAGAAGACAAGAGGGAGUUUUGGCGUGCCUAGGUAGAUAUACUACAUAAAAGUGAUUAUUCUAUUGUAUCCUCUAUAUUUCUGGGUAUUAUUGAAUAGUGGGUGGGGGGAGGGUAGUGAUCAGUUAGGGAAUGAAUGCCCUGGAAAUUGUAUAGAGCACAUAUUGACAUAUUGUAUGUUGUUACUUGAGGAAGAGUGUUUGUCAAUCGA